GCUGCAGAAACCCAACGAAAAAAUCGGUGUAUUAAACAAUUUGAAAAACAUCGAUGCAUCGAUUUUACCAUCGAUGUUUCUCCACCUCUAACUAUAACCAACACACAAAUAAAAAAGUUAUCAGCACAAAGUGUUAACAAUUGCAAUUACAAUAGCAACGGCAGCAAGCAGCCGCAACAAAUAGGCAUUAAUUAAUUGAAAUCACGGACCACAGCCAGAGCAACAUCAGUUUUAUAUACUAUCAAUAAUAACACGAUAACGCAAGUUUUGCCAGCUCAAGGAAGCAAAAAAAAGUUGCCACACGGGCGAGAAUACAACAACACGUAAAGAAAAGAAAGGAGAAACAAAAGAUAAACAAGAGCAGUGGGCAAAAUGAGUGCGCUAGCGUCAGCGCACAUAUUAAAUAUUAAAUCAAUAUUUGUGGCACUAAUCGCAGCCCUGCUAACGGCACCCCAUGUCGUCCUGUCGCGCAAACAUCACGUGGAAGUGCGCAAUGAUAUGCGACCGUAUAUUGCGCUGAGCACAUUUGGUUUCUACACAAACGGACAUUUGGACGUCCAGCUGAGUCGCUUGAGAAUUGCCGACGAUCAGUCAACGUCGGGUUUGUUUGGGCUGUCGCUGGACAAAACAACCAUUGAUCAGUUGAAUCCGUAUCUGGACUCGCAUCAAACCAAAUGCAUUUUGGAGGAGCCACCUAACAAUCAGAACAGCGGUCCCAUACUUUUCUUUGUGCUCGAUCUCAUAGAGUUGAAGGUGCGGGUUCAUUGCUCCCCAGAGUGGGUCAACAUGCAUGUCUACAAAAAUGUCGCGUAUCGCCGCAAACGCAACUCGCAUGUGGGCAAGGUUAGCGACACUGCACUCUUUACGCAGCCGCGUGUGCGACGCGCUGUCAUGCCCAUUGAUUCCGAGGAGGCGGUAGAUGAUCUUGAUGAUAAUUCGGAGGAGAAACCUUUUAAGCCCGACGAAGAGCAAUCACCACAGAAACUGUCUUCACCUAUUGUAGCGGGCAAGAUUGAGGGCGCUGCCAAGCUGAAGUCAGAGGAGCCCACACCAUCAAUUGCGCUGGCGCCGAAGGAUGUGGUAAAGGAUGCGCCAAUACAGCCAAAGGCAUCAUCAUCGCCAGCCACAGCUGAUGCAGUUCCCGCUGCCGCUUUGCCGCCUGCGGCCAUAGCCAGCGGUGUGCUAGCAGCGGACUCUGAAGUGGCUGCUGAAGUUGCUCCGGCGCCGCCAGCAUCGAUUGCUGCAGCUGCCACGUCAAGUAACAGCAACAGCAAUAGCAAUAGCAAGCUUAGCAACGACGCUGAGGUGGAGCCGGCACUGCCCGUGGAUAAUUCACCGGGAUCCGCGUCGAAUUUCUACGAGUCGAACUCGUAUCGCCAAUCCCAGAACGAUUUGUGCAAUAAUUUCAGUCUGCCGCUGGUUAAGCUAACCGAGGACAACAUCAACUAUUAUAGCUUUAACUUUUCCAUGUUUGUGGCAACGCCGCAUGACGAGGGCUUGUACAAUUUGUAUUUCCACGCUUGUCCCAACUACGACAAUCCGAAGAAGCUCUCGUUCAAUGUGGACAUUGAGGAGAACAAUAAUGGCAAUUAUUUGUCGGCUGGCGAGAUGCCUCUACCGGCUUUAUACUUUAUGAUGAGUCUGCUUUUCUUUUUGUCGGGUCUCUUCUGGGUCUUCAUACUGAAGAAGAGCAAGCACACCGUUUAUAAGAUACAUUAUUUGAUGGCUGUGCUGGUUUUCCUCAAGUCGUUGUCAUUGAUGUUCCAUUCCAUAAACUAUCAUUUCAUUGAGAAGCGCGGCGAGCAUGUGGAAACCUGGGCCAUACUCUACUACAUUGCCCACUUGCUUAAGGGCGCCGUCUUGUUCAUAACCAUUGUGCUCAUUGGCACUGGCUGGACAUUCAUUAAACACAUACUCUCCGACAAGGACAAGAAGAUCUUUAUGAUUGUCAUUCCCCUGCAGGUGCUGGCGAAUGUGGCACAAAUCAUAACGGAUGAGUCGGAUCAGAGCGAUGCCGAGUUUCGCACCUGGUACAAGAUUUUCUUCUUUGUGGAUCUGCUGUGCUGCUUUGCCAUACUGCUGCCCAUUGUUUGGUCCAUACGGCAUCUGCAUGAAGCAUCCGCCACCGAUGGCAAGGCUGCCAUCAAUCUGCGCAAACUAAAGCUAUUCCGGCAAUUCUAUUUGAUGAUCAUCUGUUACAUUUACUUCACCCGCAUCAUUGUGUAUUUGCUGCAGAUGACCGUCGUCUUUCAGUAUGCCUGGCUCGAUGAGAUGUUCAGAGAGUGGGCGACAUAUGUGUUCUUUGUGCUCACCGGCUACAAAUUCCGUCCCGUAUCAUCGCAUCCAUAUUUCACCGUUCCCGAUGAGGAUGACGAUGAUGAGGUGGAAGUCUUAACCGAAUCGGGACUCACCGAGACGGUGCAUCGUGUGAAGCCAUUGAAUCGAUCGGCGCAUUCCAAUACAAUUACAAUUAUCGAGGGCAACGAUGAUGAGCGUGAGAAUCUGUUGAUUGCGAAACGAGAGUCGAGUCAUGAGUACGAUUAAACAAGAGAAAUCACUCGAAUCGCGUGCACACAUAAAACUACAUACACCACAUAAAGAUAAACCGAUAAAGAUGCAAAUGCAGAUGCAGAUACAUUUACAGAUGCCGAUGCAGAUACAACUACAGAUACAGAUACAGAUAUAUAUAUAUACGCACUUAAUUGCAAUCGUACUUUAAGAUAGAUGGCAAUGGAGAGAUGCUGAGUUUUUUUUUGGUUAGUUGGCUGUCCGACGAUGAUAAUGACGACCACGAUGAUGAUGUUUAGUUACUAGAUAAUCCCGCUGCAUCCCUAGAUGAGAGAAAGAGAGAGAGAGCCCGUCCAACACUAUACAAGACGUGUGCCACUCAACUUGGGCAUCAGUUGCACCGUAAAAAUCAUGUAUGUACAAAUCGCGGUGACACUCUACGAUUGGAGAAAUAGAGAGAGAAAGAUUAACUGCUGUCCAGAUGGUGGAAGAUUACAUUGACCACUCACGCGUGUCAACAGAUAGCUGUCGAGAACGGUGAUGCCCAGGCAAUCGAUGCGUACACCCUGAUGGAGCAACUGCAGCGAAAAGUUCUGGAUCUGCAGCGAAAGAGCUGGCGACGUGAUCACUAUGCUGUGCAGCUGAUGGGCAAUGCGAGGCAUGAGUUGCAUGCAGCUCUGCGAGACGUAAAUAAAUGCUGGAAUCUCCAGCACAGCCGGCAGCAGUAGAUAAUAGUCUUAAGCGAAAGAGGAAUAGAUAAGAUAGUUGCCCAAUCAGAUGAUUCACUUACCAAUAAUGUUGAUCUUGUUGUAGAGCGUGUAGUACAUAAAAUAGCAAUCGACAGCGAUACGCACAUAGAUCAUCAACAGGACGGUGAGCA
Molecule: RNA transcript, 3388 nt
Organism: Drosophila albomicans
Lineage: Eukaryota; Metazoa; Arthropoda; Insecta; Diptera; Drosophilidae
Gene name: protein GPR107
Exons: 8
Source: RefSeq, a predicted model, not a curated record